RNAcentral lists this long non-coding RNA (201 nucleotides) under Mytilus galloprovincialis (Mediterranean mussel). The record is from RNAcentral. Lineage: Eukaryota; Metazoa; Mollusca; Bivalvia; Mytilida; Mytilidae.
GCUGUUCAAAUUCGUAUUUUUUCUUUACACUUUUUUUAUUCGAGCAUCACUAAUGAAUCUUUUAAAGACGACGAGCUCGUCUAAGCGUACAAAAUUAUAAAUACAAUGAAUUUGGUUACAUAUACUGUUAGAAUAUGCAUUAUCUUGGAUAUCAUUGCACAUGUUUUUGAUUUCUAAGUUAUUUAGUAACGCUUCCUUUAC